This 429-nucleotide ribosomal RNA is filed under the name Bacteroidota bacterium. RNAcentral describes it as "Bacteroidetes bacterium partial 16S ribosomal RNA". It matches the Rfam family "Bacterial small subunit ribosomal RNA", at positions 355 to 776 of the family's 1533-position model. The record is from RNAcentral. Lineage: Bacteria; Pseudomonadati; Bacteroidota.
UAGGGAAUCUUCGGCAAUGGGGGGAACCCUGACAGAGCAACGCCGCGUGAGUGAAGAAGGUUUCCGGAUCGUAAAGCUCUGUUGUUAAGGAAGAACGAGUGUGAGAAUGGAAAGUUCAUACUGUUACGGUACUUAACCAGAAAGGGACGGCUAACUACGUGCCAGCAGCCGCGGUAAUACGUAGGUGCCGAGCGUUGUCCGGAUUUAUUGGGCGUAAAGCGAGCGCAGGCGGUUAGAUAAGUCUGAAGUUAAAGGCAGUGGCUCAACCAUUGUAGGCUUUGGAAACUGUUUAACUUGAGUGGAGGAGGGGAGAGUGGAAUUCCAUGUGUAGCGGUGAAAUGCAGAGAUAUAUGGAAGAACACCGGUGGCGAAGGCGGCUCUCUGGUCUGUAACUGACGCUGAGGCUCGAAAGCGUGGGGCGCGAACAGG